CUUUAGAAAAUAAAAUACAGAUUGUGGGUGCAGGGGUACAUUUUUUUUACAGUGUUGAUAUUUGGGGCAGUGACUUCAAGCAUCAAAAAGGAGAUUAAGCUUGGUAGUGUUAACUCUUAUAAAGACUUGGGUUUACCUUUACCCUCCGACCCACUGCAAUGGAGACUAGGAGGGUUGUUGACACACUGUAGGGGGAAGGCUGGAAGGCUGGUGGUUUUCCUGGCGAUCCUUUUUGUUUUAGCUUGAGAUGAGGUGGAGGUAGAGGUCGGGUUACAGGUGGUGGUUGAGGUGGACUGGGUGGUAUCGAGGUGGGUGGAGGUGGGCUGGGUGGUAUCAAGGUGGGUGGAGGUAGAGGUGGGGUUACAGGUGGUUGAGGUGGACUGGGUGGUAUCGAGGUGGGUGGAGGUAGAGGUGGGCUGGGUGGUAUCGAGGUGGGUGGAGGUAGAGGUGGACUGGGUGGUAUCGAGGUGGGUGAAGGUAGAGGUGGACUGGGUGGUAUCGAGGUGGGUGGAGGUUGAGGUGGGCUGGGUGGUAUCGAGGUGGGUGGAGGUAGAGGUGGGGUUACAGGUGGUUGAGGUGGACUGGGUGGUAUCGAGGUGGGUGGAGGUAGAGGUGGGCUGGGUGGCAUCGAGGUGGGUGGAGGUAGAGGUGGACUGGGUGGUAUCGAGGUGGGUGGUGGUUGAGGUGGACUGGGUGGUAUCGAGGUGGGUGGAGGUUGAGGUGGGCUGGGUGGUAUCGAGGUGGGUGGAGGUAGAGGUGGGCUGGGUGGUAUCGAGGUGGGUGGAGGUAGAGGUGGGGUUACAGGUGGUUGAGGUGGACUGGGUGGUAUCGAGGUGGGUGGAGGUAGAGGUGGACUGGGUGGUAUCGAGGUGGGCGGAGGUAGAGGUGGGGUUACAGGUGGUUGAGGUGGACUGGGUGGUAUCGAGGUGGGUGGAGGUAGAGGUGGACUGGAUGGUAUCGAGGUAGGUGGAGGUAGAGGUGGACUGGGUGGUAUCGAGGUGGGCGGAGGUAGAGGUGGGGUUACAGGUGGUGGUGGUCCCUCCUUCCUUCAGUCUCUCAUUAUGGG
RNAcentral lists this long non-coding RNA (1066 nucleotides) under Salmo salar (Atlantic salmon). RNAcentral's name for it is "lncRNA (ENSSSAG00000103507.1)". The record is from RNAcentral. Lineage: Eukaryota; Metazoa; Chordata; Actinopteri; Salmoniformes; Salmonidae.